AUUGAACGCUGGCGGCAGGCCUAACACAUGCAAGUCGAACGGUAACAGGAAGAAGCUUGCUUCUUUGCUGACGAGUGGCGGACGGGUGAGUAAUGUCUGGGAAACUGCCUGAUGGAGGGGGAUAACUACUGGAAACGGUAGCUAAUACCGCAUAACGUCGCAAGACCAAAGAGGGGGACCUUCGGGCCUCUUGCCAUCGGAUGUGCCCAGAUGGGAUUCGCUAGUAGGUGGGGUAACGGCUCACCUAGGCGACGAUCCCUAGCUGGUCUGAGAGGAUGACCAGCCACACUGGAACAGAGACACGGUCCAGACUCCUACGGGAGGCAGCAGUGGGGAAUAUUGCACAAUGGGCGCAAGCCUGAUGCAGCCAUGCCGCGUGUAUGAAGAAGGCCUUCGGGUUGUAAAGUACUUUCAGCGGGGAGGAAGGGAGUAAAGUUAAUACCUUUGCUCAUUGACGUUACCCGCAGAAGAAGCACCGGCUAACUCCGUG
Molecule: ribosomal RNA, 490 nt
Filed under: uncultured bacterium
Lineage: Bacteria
Description: partial 16S ribosomal RNA
Rfam family: Bacterial small subunit ribosomal RNA
Source: RNAcentral